Molecule: ribosomal RNA, 466 nt
Filed under: Vreelandella stevensii
Lineage: Bacteria; Pseudomonadati; Pseudomonadota; Gammaproteobacteria; Oceanospirillales; Halomonadaceae
Description: partial 16S ribosomal RNA
Rfam family: Bacterial small subunit ribosomal RNA
Source: RNAcentral
CCUACGGUGCGGCAGCAGUGGGGAAUAUUGGACAAUGGGCGAAAGCCUGAUCCAGCCAUGCCGCGUGUGUGAAGAAGGCCUUCGGGUUGUAAAGCACUUUCAGUGGGGAAGAAAGCCUUGGGGCUAAUACCCUCGAGGAAGGACAUCACCCACAGAAGAAGCACCGGCUAACUCCGUGCCAGCAGCCGCGGUAAUACGGAGGGUGCGAGCGUUAAUCGGAAUUACUGGGCGUAAAGCGCGCGUAGGCGGUCUGAUAAGCCGGUUGUGAAAGCCCCGGGCUCAACCUGGGAACGGCAUCCGGAACUGUCAGGCUAGAGUGCAGGAGAGGAAGGUAGAAUUCCCGGUGUAGCGGUGAAAUGCGUAGAGAUCGGGAGGAAUACCAGUGGCGAAGGCGGCCUUCUGGACUGACACUGACGCUGAGGUGCGAAAGCGUGGGUAGCAAACAGGAUUAGAUACCCGGGUAGUC